RNAcentral lists this unclassified non-coding RNA (348 nucleotides) under soil metagenome. RNAcentral describes it as "partial contains 5.8S ribosomal RNA, internal transcribed spacer 2, and large subunit ribosomal RNA". The stretch from base 1 to 120 matches the Rfam family "5.8S ribosomal RNA", at positions 35 to 154 of the family's 154-position model. The record is from RNAcentral.
GAUGAAGAACGUAGCGAAAUGCGAUAAGUAAUGUGAAUUGCAGAAUUCAGUGAAUCAUCGAGUCUUUGAACGCACAUUGCGCCCCCUGGUAUUCCGGGGGGCAUGCCUGUCCGAGCGUCAUUGCCGCCCUCAAGCACGGCUUGUGUGUUGGGCCCCCGCCCCCCGGCUUCGGGGGGCGGGCCCGAAAGGCAGCGGCGGCACCGCGUCCGGUCCCCGAGCGUAUGGGGCUUCGUCACCCGCUCUGUAGGCCCGGCCGGCGCCCGCCGGCGACCCCAAUCAAUCUUUCCAGGUUGACCUCGGAUCAGGUAGGGAUACCCGCUGAACUUAAGCAUAUCAAUAAGCGGAGGA